Molecule: ribosomal RNA, 310 nt
Filed under: uncultured bacterium
Lineage: Bacteria
Description: bacterial SSU rRNA
Rfam family: Bacterial small subunit ribosomal RNA
Source: RNAcentral
AUUGAACGCUGGCGGCAUGCUUUACACAUGCAAGUCGAACGGUAACAGGGAGCUUGCUCCGCUGACGAGUGGCGAACGGGUGAGUAAUGCAUCGGAACGUACCGUGUAAUGGGGGAUAACGUAGCGAAAGUUACGCUAAUACCGCAUACGCCCUGAGGGGGAAAGUGGGGACCGCAAGGCCUCACGUUAUACGAGCGGCCGAUGUCGGAUUAGCUAGUUGGUGGGUAAAGGCCUACCAAGGCGACGAUCCGUAGCGGGUCUGAGAGGAUGAUCCGCCACACUGGGACUGAGACACGGCCCAGACUCCUAC